UGCAGUAGGACUGCACUUUCGCGCUUCCCUUUCAACACUCGGUGCCACGACGUGAAGCGUACGAGCAGCCAUCAAAAUUCAUGGUGCAUGCGAACUUUGCGAAACGCGUCAUGCGGUACCCGCCAUCUCUCACGCUUGUUUCUCAACAGACUAUGCCAUCUAGUGGCACUGUGGAGAAGUGCACGCGUCGUCUCUGAGACAAGACGCUUCGUACGCUGGCGCCAGGGAACGCUUAGAAUUGUUUCCUUGCCUUCCGCAUACCCAGUGUCACAUAUUCAGUAACGAAUGCUGCUGAGUGCUUCUUGAAGAGCGGCACGCACGGAUUGCAUUACUGUCGCAGCUCGCUGAAGCAUUGGCGUGAAAGACGUUCAACGAAAGACUCUCCUGCAGAUGUGGAUGAACCUCAACCGCGAGCCAGAUGCAGUACAUCACCUCCGGAAAAUACCGAACGCGUUCGGUACGCUGGCAAACGAGAGGAGAACAGGAAGACCUGAAGUAGUGAAGAACAACGGCAAUAUCCAUAGGGCCGGAAUGCAGAGUUCGAAGAAAAUCAUACAUAAGAAUGAAAACAAGCGGAUGGAGAAUUACCUGUCGAGAGUGCUGGCCAGCUCAUAUAAAAGGUGGAGUUUUGCAAGGCUGUUUCAGUGGGCUUGUUUCCAUCGUUAAACGCAUAGCGCUGCUCUGUUCGCAGAAAAGGUCAAGAUGGUGAAAUAUCGGGGAGCUUUCAUUGCGCUUUCUCUUCUCGUUGUCCUCUUGGUCUUCACCGCGCCUGCAGUUGGAACUUUAGGUGCGCUCACGGCUGCCAUCAAUCAAAUCCAAGAGCAACAGGGGCGCCUCGAUGUUGAGCCGACAGCCGACGCGUGAAAGGCACAAAACUGACAACCCAAGUUCAUGGCGUUUUGUAAACUACGUACAUAAUAGAUGAAAAGACUAAUAAAGUGUGCCUUGAAACCCACAGUCCCUGAAACUAAUGCUGUUCUUCCAGAUAUGCAUACAGAAUCAUUCUCUUCUACACGAAGCACGACUGAGUGCACCGAAGGGUUUCUUUUUCCACGCCCAGGCCUCACCCGAGACCGAAAGUAUCUGAUGCUUCUUCCAAACCAUGCCCGUACCUGGCCGGGGCACGAAAGACCCGGGCCCAGACGGACCUGGUCCGGCUCUGUUGAAUUAUUAGCUCUUAAGCCUAAACGAAGCAAGGUCGAGUUCACAGUUAUUGUGAACAUGUUAGGCGAAAACACACACAGCUAUAUUGCAAAAACCAGCGCCUUCCAGUGCAAUCCAGUGUGAAACCAGCGCGUUUUUUUUUUUUUUUGACACUGGAUCGCACUAGGGAUGCUGGCGCUCGCUUGGAGUCAUUGGGACAUCAGUGAGAACGCUGGAUAAGAGCUGGGUCACACUGGAGGAGGCGCUGGCUGCACUGCCAUGACGCUGGGGUGGACUCAUUUGUGCAGUACAGGUGCUGGUUCACGCUGCAGUUUGCUGAUUCGCACUAGAAACUGUGCUAGUUUUGUUUGUGCUGCACUGGUUCCAGUACGCAAAGACGAGCGCCGCUGCAUAUUAAAUGCUUUAUACGAUUUCAUCAAUUGAUACUAGUUUCCUGUUCUAAAUAACGCUAUAUUUUGGAGUCAUAAAAGUCUAUGUGAUGUCGCAGCUUGGAAGAAAGAUGCGUGAGGUGCCCAGUUUAUGCACGCACAUUUGACACUACAGAUCACUUUCGUUUUUUUGCAUUUUCCCUAUUUGAGUGGGAGGAUAGCUAAAUUCUUGAACGAAACCACGCAAACGCAGAAGACGCCGCGUAUUUUAGUAUUUUGUACGUAACCUAUGACUUGGAGUUAUCGCCGUUGCCACAGCGUUUUGGAGUCGACACGAAAUCCAGAAGUCGUUCAGACGUGUUCGAACACAGAUCCCGAGUUCGAAGCCUACUGCUGAUUCAUAUUAUCGCACUGAUAACAAAGCUGAGGCGAUUCGUGCGCUUCCACUUUCCCUAGUGUACCGAAAAAAAAAAGUGUAUCGAGUGUGGCUAUCACUC
Long non-coding RNA from Dermacentor andersoni, 2029 nucleotides. RefSeq lists it as uncharacterized. The record is from RefSeq and is a predicted model, not a curated record. Lineage: Eukaryota; Metazoa; Arthropoda; Arachnida; Ixodida; Ixodidae.